This 1436-nucleotide ribosomal RNA is filed under the name Duganella sacchari. RNAcentral's name for it is "bacterial SSU rRNA". It matches the Rfam family "Bacterial small subunit ribosomal RNA". Lineage: Bacteria; Pseudomonadati; Pseudomonadota; Betaproteobacteria; Burkholderiales; Oxalobacteraceae. The record is from RNAcentral.
UCAUUGGGGCAGCCUUAACAUGCAAGUCGAACGGCAGCACGGAGCUUGCUCUGGUGGCGAGUGGCGAACGGGUGAGUAAUAUAUCGGAACGUACCCUGGAGUGGGGGAUAACGUAGCGAAAGUUACGCUAAUACCGCAUACGAUCCAUGGAUGAAAGUGGGGGAUUCGCAAGAACCUCAUGCUCCUGGAGCGGCCGAUAUCUGAUUAGCUAGUUGGUGGGGUAAAGGCCUACCAAGGCAUCGAUCAGUAGCUGGUCUGAGAGGACGACCAGCCACACUGGAACUGAGACACGGUCCAGACUCCUACGGGAGGCAGCAGUGGGGAAUUUUGGACAAUGGGCGCAAGCCUGAUCCAGCAAUGCCGCGUGAGUGAAGAAGGCCUUCGGGUUGUAAAGCUCUUUUGUCAGGGAAGAAACGGGGUUGGCUAAUAUCUGAUCCUAAUGACGGUACCUGAAGAAUAAGCACCGGCUAACUACGUGCCAGCAGCCGCGGUAAUACGUAGGGUGCAAGCGUUAAUCGGAAUUACUGGGCGUAAAGCGUGCGCAGGCGGUUUUGUAAGACUGACGUGAAAUCCCCGGGCUCAACCUGGGAAUGGCGUUGGUGACUGCAAGGCUAGAGUUUGGCAGAGGGGGGUAGAAUUCCACGUGUAGCAGUGAAAUGCGUAGAUAUGUGGAGGAACACCGAUGGCGAAGGCAGCCCCCUGGGUCAAAACUGACGCUCAUGCACGAAAGCGUGGGGAGCAAACAGGAUUAGAUACCCUGGUAGUCCACGCCCUAAACGAUGUCUACUAGUUGUCGGGUCUUAAUUGACUUGGUAACGCAGCUAACGCGUGAAGUAGACCGCCUGGGGAGUACGGUCGCAAGAUUAAAACUCAAAGGAAUUGACGGGGACCCGCACAAGCGGUGGAUGAUGUGGAUUAAUUCGAUGCAACGCGAAAAACCUUACCUACCCUUGACAUGGCAGGAAUCCCGGAGAGAUUUGGGAGUGCUCGAAAGAGAACCUGCACACAGGUGCUGCAUGGCUGUCGUCAGCUCGUGUCGUGAGAUGUUGGGUUAAGUCCCGCAACGAGCGCAACCCUUGUCAUUAGUUGCUACGAAAGGGCACUCUAAUGAGACUGCCGGUGACAAACCGGAGGAAGGUGGGGAUGACGUCAAGUCCUCAUGGCCCUUAUGGGUAGGGCUUCACACGUCAUACAAUGGUACAUACAGAGGGCCGCCAACCCGCGAGGGGGAGCUAAUCCCAGAAAGUGUAUCGUAGUCCGGAUUGUAGUCUGCAACUCGACUACAUGAAGUUGGAAUCGCUAGUAAUCGCGGAUCAGCAUGUCGCGGUGAAUACGUUCCCGGGUCUUGUACACACCGCCCGUCACACCAUGGGAGCGGGUUUUACCAGAAGUAGGUAGCUUAACCGCAAGGAGGGCGCUAUCACGGUAGAUUACGG